Molecule: long non-coding RNA, 1093 nt
Organism: Astatotilapia calliptera (eastern happy)
Lineage: Eukaryota; Metazoa; Chordata; Actinopteri; Cichliformes; Cichlidae
Source: Ensembl
GUUUCAUGAUUGAAGUAGAAACAGGAGAGGGAGGGGGAGAGAAUGAGAGGAGAAGAGGCAGCUGUGCAGCUCCAGCUUUGUGUCUUUUUCAUUGUAGCUGAAGUCCGGGACAAACUGCGUUCCUUUUCACCUCAACACGAAACGCGCAAUAUUUUCUCUGAAUACGAGACGAUUCCAUUUUUUACGGGACGAUUGGAAACUCUACUAACUAACCUUACAAAUAAAAUAAAAUAAAACAAGUUCAACAUCAAUAACAUCAUAGCACCCACCCAGCAGUAUAGAAACUCUGUCAUGCUAGCUAGUACGCAGUAUGAGUUAUUAUAACUGACUGUAAAAAGUCAGCAUAACGAAAAUAAACUCCACCUAAACUUGGUUUAUAUCUGACCCAGGUAGACUGCAGGUCAUAACUUCUUACCUGAAGUUCAGUUCACCGCCUCGGGUCUCUGCUCCUCCUGCCUUUCCGUCAUCCACCUGCCAGCGUGUUGCAUCUGCAGGCCUCCACCACUUGCUAAUGUUACUGAAUCUGUGGAAGCUCUGCAAUAGCCACCACUAAACAAUUGAGUUAUUUUUACGCACCUCCCAGCAUCUGGCCAAUCCACCAGCUUUCAGUGUUUAUACGGGGGAAAAAAUCAAAAAAACAAAACAUCAGCCCAUAAAAACGAAAAAUCACCAGCGGGCAUACCGGGCAAACAUUCUUACCCAAACAUGAAAUGCCACUUUGGGUUAAACUGAAACUAAGAAAACACAAGGAGUCUGCUGAAUGUCAUUAGUCUUUCCAGUCCUUCUUGUGCACUCAUUUCUUGUGCAUAUACAUUCAGUUAAAAACACCGUUCCUAUUCAUUAAAGAUUCAUCUGCGCUUCUGGUACAGAAAACAAAUAUCACCAUUUUCUUCUGCUUAUCCACUCCAGGGUCACGGGGGAACUGGAAACCAUCCCAGCUGUCGAAGGGUGAGAGAUGGAGUACUUGCUAGACGAGUCACCAGUCUAUCACAAGGCUAACAUAGAGAGGUAGACAGCCAUUCACACUCACAUUCACACCUAAUGGCAAUGUAGAAUCACCACUUAACCUAGCAUGCAUGUCUUUGGAUCGUGG